RNAcentral lists this long non-coding RNA (2743 nucleotides) under Solanum lycopersicum (tomato). Its description in RNAcentral is "long non-coding RNA (SLYC_LNC000366)". Lineage: Eukaryota; Viridiplantae; Streptophyta; Magnoliopsida; Solanales; Solanaceae. The record is from RNAcentral.
CACAGACUGAAGAAACAAGGAAACUGAAGUAGUAUAGUUUUGUGUUUGGUUUUUGAGUAUGUAUAUCACAACAACAGGACCCAAAGAAACCAAGAAACUGAAGUGGAAUAUAUUUUCUCUUUUUUCUUUUCUUAAGGGCUGUUGGUUUGUUGAGAAGGGUAGAAUCAUAGGCAAAGUAGAGAGGGGCAACCACCCUUGAAAGAAAUCCCAUACUCUCUGCUGCCUCAUACUCGUCAUUCCUGCUAAAAGAAGGAAGUUCGUUUAGAUUAGAGCUUCUAACUGACGAGACGUCACAAGUCUGCAUUUAAGAGAAUUUAACUGCAAUAAUGUCCAAAUGCCUACUUAUGUUCUUCAACAAAUUGUGGCUCAGAUGUAUGUAAUGAUAUGGCAAAAGAGAAGCCAGUCUCGCCAUGGCUGCAAAACACCGACUGCAUGAGAGAAAGAGAGAAGUUCUCAACAGGCCAAACCGGGUUGCCACGCCAAGAUACGGGUCGGUUCAUCUCAAUGUUCCAUGAUCAGCCCAGAACUAGAAGAUACAUAAGCAUCAUCAUUAGCCCCUUUCUGUAGCAGAAUGCAUCGUAAUGGAACACUUUCCAGUUUUACACUAACAAUAAGAGAAAACGGGAAGAAAUAUGCAAAGAGCUAAGAGAAGAGAGACUGAAGAUCUGAAGGCGGCCUAAUUGUUGUGGUAAACUUGAAAAUUGGGGAAAUUUCAUCCAGAAAACCAGAGACUGAAGUACUAUGUUGCUCUUUUUUUCUCUUAAAGGCUGUUGGUUUGUUGAGAAGGGGAGAAUCAUAGGCAAAGCAGACAGGGGCAACCACCCUUGAAAGAAAUCCCAUACUCUCUCUGCAGCCUCAUUCUCUCUAUUUCUGGGCAAACCUAAUAGAUGGAAUUUGCUUGUAUGAGAGCUUAAAACGAGAAGACCUCAAUAUCUCCCACUUUGAUCAUGGAAAAGAUAUUGCCCCUUAUGCAUAGUAAAGGGGCAAAUUUGAUCAUUUUCCCUUUUUUUCUUUAGCAAAUUGAGGCUCAGAUUUGUGUAAUGACGAGGAAAAAGAGAAGCCAGCCAUGCCAUGGCUGCAACGCACGAUUGCAUGUGUGAGUUAUGCGUCUCAAUUACAGGCCAUACCGUGUUGUCAUGCCAAGGUACGGGUUGGGUACUCUCCAUGCCCGAAAUCUUGCUAGCCCAGAAAUCAUCACUGCCUCUUUAAUAGUUUUCAUAGUCAUUUUAUAGUUGUAGUAUAGUUGUGUAUACAUAUGUCUUAAGGGUGGUGCAAACUGCAAAUAAACCCAGAAACUCAAUUGUACUCUCUCUGUCUCUUUCUUUUGAAGGGCUGUUGGUUUGUUUUGAGAAAUGGAGAAUCAUAAGCAAAGCAUAGAGAGAAGGCCAACCACCCUUGAUAGAAAUCCCAUACUCUCUGCUGCCUCAUUCUUGCCUUUUAUAGGCUGACCUAACAAAAGGGAAUUCACAAGACUUCAAGCAUCUUUCGGCUAAUUCUUUCUCCUGAGGCUCAGAUUUGUUAUAAAACCAGAGAAAAGGAGACAAAGCAAUCGCCAUGGCUGGAGACCUCAGUUGUUAAGUGGAAUACCUUUACUGGGUAGCCCCGCCAAGAUACGUGCAGCUCCAAUGCCCAACCCAACUCUAUACAACUUCAUUUGUUAUUAUCACAGCCUCAUCCUAUAAUUAAAAGCUAGCAAGGGUACAUAGACCAUACCCCGAUCCUUUGUGGGGGACUAGAGAAGUUGUUUCCAACAGAGCUCAGCUCAAGAAAAUUACAGUCCAGAACCUAAAUGAUGGAAGAAAGAAAACAACAGAAACUAGUGUGUAAUUCAUCUCUCUCUUUCUCUAUUUUAAGGGCUGUUGGUUUGUUCAAAAAUGUAAGAAUCAUAGGCAAAGCAGAGAGAAGGGCAACCACCCUCUAAUAGAAAUCCCAUUACUGUCUCUGCUGCCUCAUUAGGGGCUAACCAAUCAAAAAGGGGCUCACAAGUAAUUACUUGCAAAAACGAAACAGGUCUUUUCCUUGAGGCUCAGAUCUGUGAGAUAAAAUCAAGCAAAAAGGAGACAAAAGCAACCACCAUGGCUGCAGAUCUCACUUUGCAAAACAAUGGAAAUGCCUUACCGGAUCGCCCAGCCAAGAUAUGUGCAAGCUCCAACAGGCCCGACCCAACACUAGACAACUUCAUUUGUCAUCAUCACAGCCUCAUAGGAAGGAGGAGACAGUAUACUUUAUAGCCCAACAGCACAUAAUAUAAGCCAGAAACCCAAAAACGCUCGAAAUACAUGUGAUUAGACCUUUUUCAACUAUGGUGGUUUUGGUGAAAUUUUGAAAAGGAAAUCAUCAGCGGAAGAACAGAGAGAGGACAACCACCAUUAAAGACUCCCCAAUGCCUCUCCGUUGCCUCGUUUGUUCGUCUAGAGUUGCAGAACACACUUACAUUAGGUCAUUUUUUGCCCAACUGCCUAAACAGUCUUUUAGCUUAAGAGGAAAAAAAUGUUUGAUUCUUCUUGCACAAACAACAAUCUUCAUUGACUCUAAAAAGUGGAACAGAGGGAGUAAUAAAUCAAUCAAUUAAGGGUGGUUUUGCAAUUGGAAACACUUCUAUUUGAAAGAUCAUUGGCAGCAGAGAAUGACAGAGAGGGGCAAAACCACCCAUGGAAACUCCCGACAGCUCUGUUUUAACCGCAACCUCAGAUUUAUACAAAGAUGAGUUCCCCAAAAAUGAGGCUCAGGUCUGUUACAUUCA